Molecule: ribosomal RNA, 336 nt
Filed under: uncultured bacterium
Lineage: Bacteria
Description: bacterial SSU rRNA
Rfam family: Bacterial small subunit ribosomal RNA
Source: RNAcentral
AGUGUUAUCGAAUCGCAUUGGUUUGAAUAACUAAAGUUCCAACGGUAUAAGAUGAGCAUGCGUCCCAUUAGCUUGUUGGUAAGGUAACGGCUUACCAAGGCAACGAUGGGUAGGGGUCCUGAGAGGGAGAUCCCCCACACUGGUACUGAGACACGGACCAGACUCCUACGGGAGGCAGCAGUGAGGAAUAUUGGACAAUGGGCGCAAGCCUGAUCCAGCCAUGCCGCGUGCAGGAUGACGGUCCUAUGGAUUGUAAACUGCUUUUAUACAGGAAGAAACACUCCGACGUGUCGGAGCUUGACGGUACUGUAAGAAUAAGGAUCGGCUAACUCCGUG